CCUACGGGCGGCAGCAGUGGGGAAUAUUGGACAAUGGGCGAAAGCCUGAUCCAGCCAUGCCGCGUGUGUGAAGAAGGCCUUCGGGUUGUAAAGCACUUUCAGUGGGGAAGAAAGCCUUGGGGCUAAUACCCCCUAGGAAGGACAUCACCCACAGAAGAAGCACCGGCUAACUCCGUGCCAGCAGCCGCGGUAAUACGGAGGGUGCGAGCGUUAAUCGGAAUUACUGGGCGUAAAGCGCGCGUAGGCGGUCUGAUAAGCCGGUUGUGAAAGCCCCGGGCUCAACCUGGGAACGGCAUCCGGAACUGUCAGGCUAGAGUGCAGGAGAGGAAGGUAGAAUUCCCGGUGUAGCGGUGAAAUGCGUAGAGAUCGGGAGGAAUACCAGUGGCGAAGGCGGCCUUCUGGACUGACACUGACGCUGAGGUGCGAAAGCGUGGGUAGCAAACAGGAUUAGAUACCCCAGUAGUC
RNAcentral lists this ribosomal RNA (465 nucleotides) under Vreelandella stevensii. Its description in RNAcentral is "partial 16S ribosomal RNA". It matches the Rfam family "Bacterial small subunit ribosomal RNA", at positions 338 to 795 of the family's 1533-position model. Lineage: Bacteria; Pseudomonadati; Pseudomonadota; Gammaproteobacteria; Oceanospirillales; Halomonadaceae. The record is from RNAcentral.